AGGGUAAAGGUGGUGUAUAUAAGAACUGCUGUGAGGUAUACGGAGGGUGAGGGUCACACAUUGUACGUCUUUCUGUCUUGUUGCUGUAGUGAGGAUCGGGGUGAGGAUCAGUUAUGAGGUCUCUGCUGAUUUUGGGGGGUCUCGUCUGUGUGCUGCUGGUGACCCCAUCUGAUGGUGAUUAGAAGGCAAAGCCUGGAAAGAAGCAGCAGGAUGGAGGAGGAGAGCGCUGUCCGGGAUCCGGUCCAUUUGUCGGGCCUCCAUCCAAUCACAUCACCGACGAUGAUCAGAAGAAGUCGAUGGAUUCCGGAGAUCUGACAACUCCAACAAGACCCAGCAAGAGGACCAUAAAGAAGACCACCGCACAACUCCUGUGCUGCCGAUGGCCGAGAAGGGAGCCUUGCAGGGUAAGAGAAUGGAGGUGACACUUUGGGGUCUAUUUAUAAAAGAAUCUCCAUAACUAUUCAUCCAGCACUACUCCAUGUACAUUCCUUCUGUACGAGGGAUCCAGCGGGGGUGAGGAUCGGGAAACAUCGAAUGUUCUUCAGGAGUUUUCUCUUUGGGACGAAUGUUCUUAUGAAUAUAAAUGAUAUAAAUCAGCGGGCGCCGCCCCUCACCUGAGGAUGGAAUGAGGACUAAUAGAUUAUGAAUAGUCAGCACUGAUAACAACGUAUUACUAGUAGAUGAGCCACAGAAGUGCUGGAAAUAAUAAUCUCCGGACUGGUGAUGAUGAUGA
Long non-coding RNA from Rana temporaria (common frog), 733 nucleotides. RefSeq lists it as uncharacterized. Lineage: Eukaryota; Metazoa; Chordata; Amphibia; Anura; Ranidae. The transcript has 3 exons. The record is from RefSeq and is a predicted model, not a curated record.